This 530-nucleotide ribosomal RNA is filed under the name Linognathus vituli. Its description in RNAcentral is "bacterial SSU rRNA". It matches the Rfam family "Eukaryotic small subunit ribosomal RNA", at positions 35 to 467 of the family's 1831-position model. The record is from RNAcentral. Lineage: Eukaryota; Metazoa; Arthropoda; Insecta; Psocodea; Linognathidae.
UUUCAAAGAUUAAGCCAUGCAUGUCUCAGUGCAAGCCGAAUUAAGGUGAAACCGCGAAAGGCUCAUUAAAUCAGCUAUAAUUUAAUUGAUGGUACAAUCACGGUUACUUGGAUAACUGUGGCAAUUCUAGAGCUAAUACAUGCAAAAUGAGUUCCGACCGCGCUUUCGCUUUCGUCGGAAGCGCGGAACGAAUGCUUUUAUUAGAACAAAACCAAUCGGAUCUUUCGCGCGCGAACGUUUCGGUGACCGUGUUUUUUAACACGCGCCGACGUUUUGCGGUUUGCGAAAGUCGUCCGCCAACUCCUGGUGAUUCUGAAUAACUUUUGGCUGAUCGCACGGUCACGCACCGGCGACGCAUCUUUCAAAUGUCUGACUUAUCAACUUUCGAUGGUAGGCUACACGCCUACCAUGGUGAUAACGGGUGACGGGGAAUCAGGGUUCGAUUCCGGAGAGGGAGCCUGAGAAACGGCUACCACAUCCAAGGAAGGCAGCAGGCGCGCAAAUUACCCACUCCCGGCACGGGGAGGUAG